UCGGGAGCUAAGGCGAGGCCGCGAGGCGUAGUCGAUGCACAACUGGUUGAUAUUCCAGUACCACCGUGUUCGCGUCAAGCCCAAUAUUGGCGACGUCGAGGCUGUCUUCGGACGAGUCGGCCUAGCUGGUUGCGGGUAGCUGAUGGGGGACGCAGGAGGGUAAGUGAACCGGGGCGAUGGUAGUCCCCGGGUAAGCGUGUAGGAGGGUCCGAUGAAAGUUUGACCGUUAACUCUGAGACGUGAUGCCGAUCCGCUUCAGGAGAAGUCACUGAUCCCAUGCUGUCAAGAAAAGCCCAGCAGUUAGUUAGCACGGUGCCCGUACCCCAAACCGACACAGGUGGGCGGGUAGAGAAUACCAAGGCGAUCGGGAGAACUGUAGUUAAGGAACUCGGCAAAUUACCUCCGUAACUUCGGAAGAAGGAGGACCCUAUUAAGGUGAAGGCCGUACGGCUGGAGCCCCAGGGGGUGGCACAAACUAGGGGGUAGCGACUGUUUACCAAAAACACAGCAGCGUGCGAAGCCGCAAGGCGCUGUAUACGCUGUGACGCCUGCCCAAUGCUGGAAGGUCACGGGGAAUGGUUAGUCGCAAGGCGAAGCUAUGAACCUAAGCCCCAGUGAAUGGCGGCGGUAACUAUAACCGUCCUAAGGUAGCGAAAUUCCUUGUCAGGUAAGUUCUGACCUGCACGAAUGGCGUAACGACCUCCCCACUGUCUCAACUACAGACCCGGCGAAAUUGAAGUACGAGUAAAGAUGCUCGUUUGCUGCGGAAGGACGGAAAGACCCCGUGGACCUUUACUAUAACUUGAUGUUGGAUUUUGACCUGUGUUGUGUAGGAUAGGUGGGAGACUAGGAAGCUGUGGCGCUAGCCAUGGUGGAGUCAACGUUGAAAUACCACCCUGCAUAUGUCGGGAUUCUAACCUGGGUCCAUUAUCUGGAUCAGGAACAGCGUCAGGCGGGUAGUUUGACUGGGGCGGUCGCCUCCUAAAUAGUAACGGAGGCGCCCAAAGGUUCUCUCAGGCUGGUUGGUAAUCAGCCGUCGAGUGCAAUGACACAAGAGAGCUUGACUGCGAGACUGACAGGUCGAGCAGGUGCGAAAGCAGGGCAUAGUGACCCGGCCAUCACAUGUGGAAGUGUGGUCGCUCAACGGAUAAAAGGUACCCCGGGGAUAACAGGCUAAUCUUUCCCAAGAGUCCAUAUCGACGGAAAGGUUUGGCACCUCGAUGUCGGCUCAUCGCAUCCUGGGGCUGAAGCAGGUCCCAAGGGUUGGGCUGUUCGCCCAUUAAAGCGGUACGCGAGCUGGGUUUAAAACGUCGUGAGACAGUUUGGUCCCUAUCCUCCGCAGCCGAAGGAAUAUUGAGGAAGGCUAUCCCUAGUACGAGAGGACCGGGAUGGACGGAGCUCUAGUGUGUCUGUUGUCCUGCCAAGGGCAU
Molecule: ribosomal RNA, 1430 nt
Filed under: Colobanthus quitensis
Lineage: Eukaryota; Viridiplantae; Streptophyta; Magnoliopsida; Caryophyllales; Caryophyllaceae
Description: bacterial LSU rRNA
Rfam family: Bacterial large subunit ribosomal RNA
Source: RNAcentral